UACAGAGGUCCCAAGCGUUGUUCGGAUUCAUUGGGCGUAAAGGGUGUGUAGGUGGCGCCGUAAGUCGGUGUGAAAUCUCGGGCUUAACUCGAAACUGCAUUCGAUACUGCGGUGCUUGAGGACUGGAGAGGAGACUGGAAUUACGGUGUAGCAGUGAAAAUGCGUAGAGAUCGUAAGGAAGACCAGUGGCGAAGGCGGGUCUCUGGACAGUUCCUGACGCUGAGGCACGAAGGUCAGGGGAGCAAAACGGG
RNAcentral lists this ribosomal RNA (251 nucleotides) under uncultured bacterium. RNAcentral's name for it is "partial 16S ribosomal RNA". It matches the Rfam family "Bacterial small subunit ribosomal RNA", at positions 524 to 777 of the family's 1533-position model. The record is from RNAcentral.